Molecule: long non-coding RNA, 255 nt
Organism: Oreochromis aureus
Lineage: Eukaryota; Metazoa; Chordata; Actinopteri; Cichliformes; Cichlidae
Exons: 3
Source: RefSeq, a predicted model, not a curated record
UAGACCCUGCAACAAUCCCUAGCCAAGAAGAACAAGAACCAUCAACCACCAGUUCAGAAACCCCACGGAGCACGGCGGGCAAAUGAAAGAAAAACAUCUUGGACUGACAUGAAAGGUGCGGAGCGAGGAGGGGAGGAACGUCUCGAUCUGGAAAUGGCGUCUGACACGACACAACUGAGCCCUGAGAUAGACUGGAGACUGUACCCUGCCUCUUGCCCUAUGACUUCAACUCCAGGCCUUGAAGAUCGGUGUCCU